GGCGUGAGACCAUCAGUGCCCACACCUGGGUGGCUUUCCUCAGAAGCAGAGGUGGGCCUUCCAGGUGUGGCUCUUGAGAAGGAGAAGAAGGAAGCAGAGAGGAGAGGUGGCCAUCCAGGACGGGCAGGGGACCUGGCUUUUAUCCAGGGCAGUCUGCGGGAUCUUCAGCACUCGCAGCUCCCCGGGCUCCGGAGCCCGCAGGGCCUGGGCCAGGCAGGGCUUUGAAAGCCACAUCCUGCCUCGGAGCUCAUUCCGCCUGGAUGGGGCCCCAGGGAAGGAUGAGGCUUACAUGUAUGCCAGCACCCCAGCAGGGCCUCCACCCGCCACCCGCCACCGUGCUGGCCCAGGGCCAGGGCCACCGAGAGCCGGCUCCAAAAUCCUGUCUGCUGUCUGCCUCCCGGGACUGCUCCGGCCCCAGCCGUCUCAGGACCACACGACAGCAUCCUGACCAGCCCGUAUUGUUGGGCGCUCCAGUCGCUGCAGUGCUGGAAAGUCUCGUCACCUCUUCAGAGCAGGGCCACACCACACCUCCAUGGGGCGGCAGUCCUGGGGAGACGGAGCUCCGUGAGCCUGUGAGCCCCAGAGCCCCGACAGCUGACGGCUCGCAUGGCGAGGAUGCUGAGCAGAGGACAGUGCUCCCAGGCCUAGAUGACAUCACGGACCCCAGGGACCCGCCUGUCAGUGGAGGAGGAACAUGCAGAAUCUGGGAGGCAUCAAGGGCCUGGCCGGCUGCUAACAUAUCAGGUUCCCACAACAGUUUGACUAGGUAUCUAUCAUACUUCCGAUUUCAUGGAUGAGGGAACCAAAGUCCAGAGAGGCUGAGGAACUUCAAGGCUCCAUAGCUACUCACGGAUGGAGAUGAGACUUAAACAGAGCUCAUCAUUAUUGACCAGGACGCUGCACGGUGAGGUUCUGGAGAUCCUGAACAUGUCCGCCUCACCUUUCAUCUACUUAGGCAUCUUUGAACUUCGAUAUCACAGUCCUGACCUGUGACCAGCCGGCUGAGUGUGGGCCCUGGCCUGGGCCAGGGUUUGGAGCUGGGCUCCGCCUCUCACCAGCUGUGGGCUCUCGUGCACAUUACUUAACCUUUCUGUGCCUCCGUUUCCUCCAUCGGCGGUUUGGGGAUGUUUGGGAUUACGUGAGUUAAUACCCGUAAAGUGCUUACAAGAGGACCUGGUACUACGUAGAAAGUGCUUAGUUCUUGAGCCGCUGUAAACACUUAGUCCUGCUUAUGUGCAGCCACAGCCCAGAAUCUCAGGAUGUUUUUUCUAUGAACAAAAUGGCUCUUGGAUGUGCUAAUGGGCCCUGAACGUCUGAGAUGAUCAGGCGAGAAAAGCCGGGUCUACACAGCUGCGCUGGUGGGAGGCACGGGAGGGGCUGGGGCAGGAUCUCUGCCUGGAGGCAGUGCUUCCAGGUGUUGGGCGGGGGCAGACGUGGGGAAGCCGUCUCUUCCCACAUGCCCUUUAUUUUAAAAUGUUCUACUGAACAAUGUAUUGUAUACUUCCUUCAAAUGGUAGAUUUUCUUAUUGUUCAAAAAU
RNAcentral lists this long non-coding RNA (1538 nucleotides) under Equus caballus (horse). Its description in RNAcentral is "lncRNA (ENSECAG00000054249.1)". The record is from RNAcentral. Lineage: Eukaryota; Metazoa; Chordata; Mammalia; Perissodactyla; Equidae.